Molecule: small nucleolar RNA, 263 nt
Filed under: Geospiza fortis (medium ground-finch)
Lineage: Eukaryota; Metazoa; Chordata; Aves; Passeriformes; Thraupidae
Source: RNAcentral
CCUCUGUAGUCAAAGAGGUGCCCUUGGUUGUUGGUACUCUGGGCACACCAGGCUUGCAGAGAGAGCAGCAGCGAGGAAGCCGAGGCACGGCUGGCCGGGGCACCGUGCGCAAUAUUCCUCCCACAGCUGCCACCCUGUUGCCACGGAGGUAAUGACUUCUCCCGUGUCAUUAUUGAUCUAUCAACAGUAAGAGCAAUUUUGCAGUGUGAUAUUGUUUAGCAAAUAGAGUAAUGUCUGCUGAACACUGAAAAACUGCUAUAAAA